CUAAUACGUCUGUAUUACUUUUUGAAACCGAUGAUCGUUAUUUCUCAUUUUGUUUUACAAUGAAUUAUAACAAUAUCUGUAUAGGGGCAUUCGGCCUUUUCAAGUGUAACUUAUCUUGAUUCAAGUUAUUUAUCUUAAACUUCAGAAAAGGAAAGUCGCGUCGCUAGGGACAAAGUGGACAGAAAGAGAAACCUUUAAGGGAGAGAUUAGGAGCAACCACGUGGUAUUGAAGUUACCCGUUUUGUGAUCCAUGAGCCAGAAGUAGUGAGAGGAGGACUAGACAGGAACGAGUCUCACAAAUUAGUAGUCACACAAAGUAGGCAAACUUACUUUCAUCGGGCACACGAGUACAGUCAGUACACUGGUCAUGAACCCUGUGAGAGGAUUUACCCCGGGGAUUUACACGCCUCUCUUGCUGUUAUAUUCUCCUGAAUAUUACGGAAACUAUGUUAGAAACACUUAAAUGUCUUUCUUCACAGUUCAAGUAUUUCCUUUUGAAGUCCAUAUAACAAGAUUUUUACUUACCAUGCUGUCACAAAAGGAAUAGCGCAGUCUUUCAUGAUCCUCAAAAAGCAUGUCUCAUGAGGGGACUGAGUUUAUUGCUACAGUUUCAGUAAGAGUGUCAUCUAGGCUGUGGUAACAGUUGACCGUGUAGGACAUAUUCUCUACGGGCAGACCAUUCUAGCAACUUACUGACACACUUGUGGACCGGAUAUCAUAAACAAUCCCUAGAAAUAGAAACUCACGUCAGAUAGCAAGUGACAAUAGUCUGUUAAUUCUUUUUACGUUGUCAACAGAUCUAAUUGCUCUAAACAUUCAUUUUUCCGCACUACAGGAUAGUUAAGUUUGCAAUGAUUUACCAAGAGAUGGAUGUAGUGGAAGCUGAUAACCCUCAGCUGUAUAAAUCCAUGCUCAAAUUGCAGUUGAAUGUCUGAUAAAUUGAGGAUCUUAA
Molecule: long non-coding RNA, 952 nt
Organism: Orbicella faveolata
Lineage: Eukaryota; Metazoa; Cnidaria; Anthozoa; Scleractinia; Merulinidae
Source: RefSeq, a predicted model, not a curated record